AGCUUUGUCCCUCCUCCCUUUGGUUUGAGGUGCAAAAAUGCAAAACGAGAGGGGAAGGAUGCAGCCAGGCUCCCAGCCUUGAGAGACAACCAAAAUGUUACCCUCGGGCCUCAGGAAUAUUUCUGGUGAAGUCGGUGAAGUUACCUAUAUCUAAUUCUGGAUUAAUCCAUUGAAGGCAGCUAUGGACCACUCAGUGCACACGCGCUCUCCCGCGUCCCCAGACCCUGGCUGUGUUGGAGCACCUGCACUUCUCUGGAUGAAGACCUCUGCCACAGGCUCCAUCUGCAACGGCGAAGACCCAGUUGGACUCACCCAGUGCAAGGUGUAGCUCCUGCUCCCUCCUAGCCCUGCUGCAAUCGUUAUUGUUGCUUCUGGGUGCGCACCGGUUAUUUUGGCUUCCGCAGAGAAAAUGCAGAACUCCUGAGUCUGUCAGUGACUUCUGGAUCCUGGGUCAAGCAAAGCCUGUGAACAGCAGGAAGCACUUGCCUUUAGCCGUGGCAUUCUCUGAGGGGUAUGGACAGCACUGAAAUUGCCUGAGCAUCGUUGGUGACAUGCCUGUGGCUCGAGAACAUCUGUAACGGGGUCAGCUGAGAAGCAGAGAGAAGGAGCCUGUUUUCUGAUCAGGUCAGAUUUGUCAGAGAAGUUCUGAGAAGCAUCUGAAACUUGCACAGACGUCUAAACUGCACAUAGUUCUGGUCUAGCUCUGGAAUAUGUAUCAUUCACACUUAAAAACUGUUGCUCAGUGUUGGUGGACUCGUUGGCCAGCCCGCUCAAUGUAUGGCUCUGGAGGACAAGGUACCGUGACAAGCAGUGGAACUGACUGAAUGGCCCAGGUUUCGUGGGAAUUCCAGCGUGGAUCCGUUUGCUGUGCGUUCUCCUGCCUUGGACAGCCAACAAGUUGUGAGCAUGCGGCUCCUAAUCAGGGCUGGCAGGGCAGAUGGUUUAUCUUUGACUGCCUGAGAGUUCCUGCUCUGCAGAGAGAGGCAGACACUCGUUUUGAUUCCUUGUCGCAGGCUUUUCACUUUCCAGUCCAUUACAAGUGACACAGCCGGUAAAGAGCCUGUCUGUCAGUGUUGUCCCUGGAGGGGUGAAUCUUCGUCCCGCUCUGUACUCAUACCAGAGCUGUCUGCUCGCGCUUUUUCACAUCGUGCUGGGCACCAGGUGAGGAGGACUCUGCUGGGAGGCAGAUCACAGCUUCCCAGCCCUGCCAAGCCCUGUCCCACACAGCCUCUCCUGGCACUUCACAGGCAAUGGCAGCUCUAGAACAAACCUCUUCCCAAGUGGGGAUGUUGGUGCUUAAAAUAAAUCACUGCCUAUCAUUUUCUGAGUGGUCAGAAGACGACUUGUAAGGCUGUGCUGUGAAGAGCUCUAACCCACUGCUUGGGAAAGGAAUGUCCCAGCAGACAGCAUUGCUCUGGAUCCAUCACCCGUGAGAGAAAACAAGGAAACAAAAAUCUGACAGCUGCGGCCAGUUGUGAUCUGUUUUGUGCAGUCACAUAUGGGGCAUAUAUGGCUCCUUUAAUUUACAGAAAGUGCGCAUCCAUGAGCCGAUCAAGGUCAUACGCGCUUCUCGGUGGGAGCUGCUAUUCCUGUUUUGCAACAGGGAAAGAAAAGGGUAGAUCUGCACGGAAUUUGUCUGCAUUCAAUGGGGACCUUGCAGACGAAAUCCAAGGGGGUCUGCGUGGCAAAGUCUGUUCUGCCAGUGACUUGUCCGUGGCCAGCAGGGAUUGCGCAGCAGAGCGGGGAGAGAGUGUGGGGGCUUGCAUCCCAAACAUUGAUCUGAGCGGCUUGGACUGAAAUAACAUGUCUAGAUUUCAUCGCUAAUGAAUAAGUAUGCUACUGUUUGCUAGUCUGAGCCUCGCCUUUUUUCUUUCUAAUUUGAGCUGAACUUCUGUACC
Chroicocephalus ridibundus (black-headed gull) is the source of this 1898-nucleotide long non-coding RNA. RefSeq lists it as uncharacterized. The record is from RefSeq and is a predicted model, not a curated record. NCBI's taxonomy places the organism in Eukaryota, Metazoa, Chordata, Aves, Charadriiformes, Laridae. The transcript has 6 exons.